UAGGGAAUCUUCCGCAAUGGGCGAAAGCCUGACGGAGCAACGCCGCGUGAGUGAAGAAGGAUUUCGGUUCGUAAAGCUCUGUUGUUAGGGAAGAAUGAUUGUGUAGUAACUAUACACAGUAGAGACGGUACCUAACCAGAAAGCCACGGCUAACUACGUGCCAGCAGCCGCGGUAAUACGUAGGUGGCAAGCGUUGUCCGGAAUUAUUGGGCGUAAAGCGCGCGCAGGUGGUUUAAUAAGUCUGAUGUGAAAGCCCACGGCUCAACCGUGGAGGGUCAUUGGAAACUGUUAAACUUGAGUGCAGGAGAGAAAAGUGGAAUUCCUAGUGUAGCGGUGAAAUGCGUAGAGAUUAGGAGGAACACCAGUGGCGAAGGCGGCUUUUUGGCCUGUAACUGACACUGAGGCGCGAAAGCGUGGGGAGCAAACAGGAUUAGAUACCCUGGUAGUCCACGCCGUAACGAUGAGUGCUAAGUGUUGGUCUCAUAAGAGAUCAGUGCUGCAGCUAACGCAUUAAGCACUCCGCCUGGGGAGUACGACCGCAAGGUUG
Molecule: ribosomal RNA, 547 nt
Filed under: uncultured bacterium
Lineage: Bacteria
Description: bacterial SSU rRNA
Rfam family: Bacterial small subunit ribosomal RNA
Source: RNAcentral